This 84-nucleotide transfer RNA is filed under the name Patescibacteria group bacterium. RNAcentral's name for it is "tRNA-Leu". It matches the Rfam family "tRNA". From Rfam's summary of the family: Transfer RNA (tRNA) molecules are approximately 80 nucleotides in length. Their secondary structure includes four short double-helical elements and three loops (D, anti-codon, and T loops). The record is from RNAcentral.
UGCAAGCGUGGCGGAACUGGUAUACGCGCUGGUCUUAGGAACCAGUCUCGCAAGAGGUGAGGGUUCGAUUCCCUCCGCUUGCAU